RNAcentral lists this unclassified non-coding RNA (3361 nucleotides) under Hevea brasiliensis (rubber tree). The record is from RNAcentral. Lineage: Eukaryota; Viridiplantae; Streptophyta; Magnoliopsida; Malpighiales; Euphorbiaceae.
UCUCUCUCUCUCUCUCUCUCAAUCGCUCGACAUUUCCAAGGUAAAAAAAGGAGAAAAGAAAAAUUCUCUCUUGAUCUUUCCCUUUUUCGAAUCUGUAGAGAUCAGGAGACCCCUCUGGCCUUUUUUCUUUUUCACUUCUCCGGGUCAGUUUCAUGGCCUUGCCUUAAUCUCUCUACUUUUCAUUAAUAUUUUUUUUUUCCAUUUUCAUUAGUUUUCAGUAAUAGUAUAUAACAAUGAAAUAAUUAAAAAGCCUUGUAUAUUUAUGUUGGUAUUUAAUGAUUAUUACAGUUUGGCACAUUCGAAUAAUUUUAAAACGAAUAUGCUUUUAUUGCACCAACUACUCCUCUCUUAUAGCUUCUAUUUGGAUAUGAGGCUUUCUGGCUUUCCCUUUUUAUGUGUCUGUCUGACUAGUUUUUAAGCUGCUUUCGUAUCUGUUUGAUAUGUUUCUCUCAUUUGUAUCUUAAUUUGACCUGCUGGGUAUUGGCAACUUAUAUGAGUUUGGUGGGUGUCCUUUUAAUUUUUGUUUUGAUGCUUUAGAAGGCCUUUUCUAUCUUCAUCUGAUUUUUGUUUUGUGGUUCCGCGCAAAAGAAAGCUUUGGUAUUUUGAGGAGUCAUUAAUUGGAUAAUCAAACUGCGAUGUGAUUUUGGAUUUUUGAUCUGGUUUCUAUCAGAAUUGCAGUUUUGGAGAUACUGGGAGGGUUAGGAGCGUGUCGAAUUCACAGGUUUGAGGUUUAUACUAAUAGAGCCUCGCAAUCUUGUGGGGUUCGUGGCUUAGGUUCUUAAGUUAUGAUAGAAUUUUGAGAAUUUGUGCGUUGGGUGAUCUGAGGAAUCCGAGUGUCAUAAUAUGUAUACUGUAGGGAGGCUUAUAACCAGAGGGGUUUACACUGUCUCGGGCCCCUUUCACCCUUUUGGUGGGGCUGUGGAUAUCAUUGUGGUGGAGCAGCCAGAUGGUAGCUUUAAAUCCUCGCCUUGGUAUGUUCGGUUUGGGAAGUUUCAAGGGGUAUUGAAGGCGACAGAGAAGGUGGUUAACAUUAGUGUUAAUGGAAUAAAUGCAAAUUUGCACAUGUAUCUUGAUCAGAGAGGAGAAGCUUACUUUCUCAGGGAGGAAGAAGGAGAUGAAGGGGAAUCUGUUUCAUCAUCUUCUAGUGAUGAGACAGAUGAGCAAUCUCAGAAUAGCAGGAGGCCAAUGAAGUCCAGUAGCUGUGAUUUUGAUGGUAAUAAGUUAAAUUCAUGUGGUCAGAUUGAUGGAAAUAAAGAGAAGAAUGUUGCUAGGACUAAUUCCCGCCGGUCAAGGAUAUUUGGUCUUGUUUUUGGAAGGAGGCCAAUGAAGGAAGAUGGUUAUCAAGAUGGAAGUAAUAAUGAUGGUGCUGGUGUGGUAAGGAUAAGUUCAUUGGAUCGUGCAGAGAUUGCAGCCAACCUCUUGGAUGUGAAGUGGUCAACUAAUCUUACCACUAGUAAGUCCAUGAAAGAAAAUGCUUCACAGUUUUCUGCUUUAGAUACAACUGAUGGUAAAGGGGACAGAGAGAGGCUGACCAAUGAUGGACAAAGCCAGGUUGGCUCAUCUGUGCAGGAUGCCACUGAAGCCAGUGUGGGCCAUUAUGUGUUUUCUGAGGAAACAGGUUGUUGUAAUGUGCAAAUGGGCAACAGUUCCCACUCUGGCUUUGAGAACAGGAAAUUUUCUGUUGAGGAAAUUAGUGUAGGAAUGUCAAGUUCAGGUGCCACUGAACAAAUUGUUGAGGCUUUGAUGUUAGAUGAAAGUGCUUUGGAAGAAAAAUUGGAAGAAAUAUCUUCAAUAGCAAGAAACACCAAUGAACCUGGUUUACAGAACGCUGAUCAAGAUGACAAUUCUGAGGGUGUAAUCUCUGAUUUUUCUUGUUCACAUUCACAAAUCGUGGAUGUGUUCGGAACAUUUCCUAGCAAGAAGUUUGAUCAAGAAUGUGUAUCUGAUGAAAGAAACGUUGCAUUAGCAGGUUUUGGCAUUUCUGAGGAGAGUGGAUCCAAUGGAACUCAAUCCUUCAUUUACUGCGAGAAAUCUGAGAACUCACUAGUAGGGUUGGAUGGUUCAAAAGAACAAGCUGAGGAAACACUGUGUCUCACUAGUGGUGGACCUGGGGAUGUUAACUUUUGUGCUGAAACUUUGCAUGUGACAACCGAAUUACUACCUGAGGAUACAGUUACUGAGCAAGCUGAGGAAAUAGAAUUGGAGACAGUAUUCACCAAGUCUUGUGAUAAUUACCCUCAACUAACAAAUCCAUCUCCUCCUUCGGUAUGUGGCUGUGAUGUGGUGAAUUUUGAAGUUCCAUUGGCAGUGCCAAAAUCCCAUGCUCAAAUGAUCACUGUGGACCCUAUACUUGAUUUGACUGAAGCAGAUUCAAAGAGCAUUAGCUCCAUUUCCAAUUUUACCAUAUCAGUUUGUCAAUUUGAAAAUGGGAGAAAUAUUGCGUAUCAAAUUGCCAGAGAUGAGCUGCGACCUUCCUUGAAAUCAGUGAGUGGUUUAGAACAACUUCAUGGUGAUUGUGACCUGGAAAAAGCAGUUAGUGUUCCAGUAUCAGAGAAUUCAGAGGAGGAACAAUUCAUUUUCAGUGAUCUUGAUGACUUCAAACACAGAGAAACUCGUGAAAAUUUGAAUUUUUCAGAUGUUGUAGUUGAAGAAAAUAAUCCCUCAUUUUCUACUGAGGGCACUAACGAAGUGAAUAAGCCUCUCAGUAGAAAUGAUAAAUCCUUUUCUUCUCAAGACAGCUUUUUCCAAAAGAAUCAAUUGGCUGAUGUUGAAACCCUGAUGGAAAAUUCAAAGGGAGCAUCAAGUCCAAUUUCUAUUCCUAACCUUCAUAACACUGCUCAUAUGAAAGUUGGGUGGUUGGCAGAAUCAUUACCCAAUAUGUGGUCUUGCAGUGACAAUAUGGGUACAGAGGACCUCCAUCGUCCUUUAAGCCAUUCACUGGACUCAGGUUCCAAACCUUUGGAAUGGAAAUUGCAAAACAAGGAUGAGUCAUGCUGCAUAAAUUCAGACACAGGCGAGGAAAGCCAAUCAUCACCAGAGCUCUCAAAUAGGAAAGAUUCUCAUAAUCCAGAAGAUAUAAAAAAUAGUGUUGCCAAUCCUGCUGUUGGGGAUCUAUCAGAAGCCAUUGUUACAACUGGUGGAAGCUGGAAACUCUGGCCUUUCACUUUUAGAAGAUCAAGAUCUAGGAAGACCACGCAGUCAACUAUUCCUGAUGCCAGGAGUUCUGAUGCUGAGAAAGCUUCAGAUGGCAACAUUGAUAUGGAUUAUGAUAGAAAUGCUGUUAAGACAAAGGUCUCCAAAAAGAUGGUAAGGGCGAUUACCCCAACAUCUGAAGAGUUGGCAUCCUUGAAUCUGAAGGAAG